Long non-coding RNA from Engraulis encrasicolus (European anchovy), 297 nucleotides. RefSeq lists it as uncharacterized. The transcript is spliced from 3 exons. NCBI's taxonomy places the organism in Eukaryota, Metazoa, Chordata, Actinopteri, Clupeiformes, Engraulidae. The record is from RefSeq and is a predicted model, not a curated record.
UUUCAGAUCAGUGCUGAAUUCAAAAUAAUCACCACAGUUCCCCUGCAAUCCAAGCAACUGUUGCUGAAUUGGCUGAUUUGUACAAGAUGCACCAUUUCUGAGGACUUCUGGCACAGUGGCCUGCACUGUUCAAAGUUCGCAAGAUCAGUGCUGAAUUGAAAAGAAUCACCAGUCCCACUGCAAUGGCCAGCACUGUUCGAAGUCCACAAGGUAAAGCAUUCACUUUGGCCACAACCCUACCCAGUGCACCUUAACAACUUGACUCCUGCUUUAAAUUAGCUGUUAUCUGAAUGGGGG